RNAcentral lists this ribosomal RNA (292 nucleotides) under uncultured bacterium. RNAcentral describes it as "partial 16S ribosomal RNA". It matches the Rfam family "Bacterial small subunit ribosomal RNA", at positions 505 to 796 of the family's 1533-position model. The record is from RNAcentral.
GUGCCAGCAGCCGCGGUAAUACGAAGGGUGCAAGCGUUAUUCGGAAUCAUUGGGCGUAAAGCGCGCGCAGGCGGAUCAGCAAGUCAGGUGUGAAAUCUCGGGGCUCAACCCCGAAACUGCGCCUGAAACUGCUAGUCUAGAAUGUCGGAGGGGGCAGGGGAAUUUCACGUGUAGGGGUAAAAUCCGUAGAGAUGUGAAGGAACACCGGAGGCGAAGGCGCCUGCCUGGACGACUAUUGACGCUGAGGCGCGAAAGCGUGGGGAGCAAACAGGAUUAGAUACCCCUGUAGUCC